UGGGGCGUAGCCAAGCGGUAAGGCAGCGGUUUUUGGUACCGCCAUUCCCUGGUUCGAAUCCAGCGCCCCAGCCA
Molecule: transfer RNA, 74 nt
Filed under: Brucella abortus
Lineage: Bacteria; Pseudomonadati; Pseudomonadota; Alphaproteobacteria; Hyphomicrobiales; Brucellaceae
Also listed under: 8 other names
Description: tRNA-Gln
Rfam family: tRNA
About the family: Transfer RNA (tRNA) molecules are approximately 80 nucleotides in length. Their secondary structure includes four short double-helical elements and three loops (D, anti-codon, and T loops).
Source: RNAcentral